UCUGCAGAAUGGAAUCUGAGCCCUCAGUUUGACUUCAAGGCUCUCUGCGACUGGCUCCAGCCUCUCUUGCCCUCUGACCUACCGAAGUUUCUCCAUAUGAACCUCCCACUUCUCCCCUACCUCCAGGGGCCUCCACCUUCCCUGGCUGUCCCAAGUGGUUCACCCUCCAGAUUCAAAUUCUGCUUCUUCCCCCUAAAGCCCUCCCUGACUAUCCACAUCCAUCCCUGUCUCACUUACUCUUUCUGGCCAAGUGUGCAUAUGGAACCAUCUGGUAUAUUUGUAAAUCAGCUCUCCAGGCAGACUGAUGCUCUGAGAGCCGGCGUGACUGCUUAUACUGGGUUUCCUCCUCGGAGCCCAGCGCCAUGCUGGCUGCUAUGCCUUCGGAAUGAGGGCCUCCGGUUCUUCGUCGGUGGGUCCUCAGUGCCUUUCCAGCUCUGACAUUCCAUGGCCCGAUAUUCUGAGAGUGCCCGGUCUCUACGAGUUUGCUGGAAUCUGAGAAUCUGGAGUGUCCUGAGGCAGAUGGCAGCCUGGCCAGAGUCAGUCAAAGCCACAUUUGGAUUCCGGAUCCUGGCAAGCUGACCUCCUGUUUGCUGGUCUUAAAUCCCUGGUUCUUCAGUGGCUCAGUGCUGCUGUCCUUGCCCUGCCCUCCCGCCCCUCAGACACAGAGCAAGUUCACACGGGGUGAGGAUGGAUCCAUAUGUGGAUUCUGGCCACACGACCCCAGGGCUGGUGGGAUCCAGCAGGGGAGGCCAAGCGUCAGGAAGAGCGGAAGACCGGGAGCUCCCACAUGCAGAUGGCUAAUAAAGGGGCAGGUGGGCCGAGGCCUCACUCAGCUCGGGGUGCCCCAGGGGUGCAUCUUGGGGUGCCCCAGGGGGCAACGGAACACUUCUGGUGCAUUUGCCAGUGGGGGCUGGACACACAAUUUGGAGCCCUAAGCAGCCAUGUAAGAAGUUCACUACCCUGAAGCCACCAUGCUGAGACACCGUGAGAAGAGACCGUGCACAGAUGGAGAGAGAUGCCCGGGGAGCUCCACACUCCAGACCAGGCUUCAGGUGCACCAGGAAAGGAGACUCUGACACGACCCUAGCCCCUCCUACGUCUGAUUGUAAUGAGACACCCUGAGCAGGAAUCGUCCUGCUGGGCUGAUUUUAGCUCCUUGACCUGCACAAACUGUGAGAGCUAAUAAAUGAUUAAUGUUGUUUAAA
Long non-coding RNA from Suricata suricatta (meerkat), 1205 nucleotides. RefSeq lists it as uncharacterized. The record is from RefSeq and is a predicted model, not a curated record. NCBI's taxonomy places the organism in Eukaryota, Metazoa, Chordata, Mammalia, Carnivora, Herpestidae. The transcript has 2 exons.